Molecule: long non-coding RNA, 2739 nt
Organism: Oncorhynchus nerka (sockeye salmon)
Lineage: Eukaryota; Metazoa; Chordata; Actinopteri; Salmoniformes; Salmonidae
Exons: 2
Source: RefSeq, a predicted model, not a curated record
UGGACUAGGCGGAAAUUUUGACUUUGUGGCAGUGGCGAUUUGUUACAUUUUAUUUUACUAGACAAGUCAAUUAAGAACAAAUUCCUAUUUUACAAUGACGGCCUACCCUGACAAAACCCUCCCCUAACCCGGACAACGCUAGGCCAAUAUUGUGCGCCGCCCUAUGGGACUCCCGAUCACGGCUGGUUGUGUUACAGCCCAGGAUCGAACCCGGGUCUUUAGUGAUCCCUCGAGCACUGAGCUAUCAAGGAGGGGGGUUUGGGAAGAUGGUGGAGGCGGAUGUUUUGUUUCAAAUUGAUGGCGCGUCGAAUGGAGAUGAGAAGGAAUGGAUUACAGUGGCAAACAAAAAAGGGAAACAAGAGAAGUAAAGUGGUUGUGGAGUCUAGUAAAUCCAAGCCUAGUUCUGACUCUUAGAGUGAGGAUUUUAGAUCGAUCGAGAUAACUGGGAGAUCCGUUUGAAGUCUCGAUAACAAGAAAUAUGUUUAUUUUUGUGUGUCCGAGGAGCUGAAGUAGAGUUCUUUGCACCCGAUAAAGAUAUUAGAAGGUGUCGUGUGUGGAUCUGCGAAGCAGGGCGCCUAUGGUGAAUGCCGACUGACCAGUAUGGUGUAUGGAGUGAGGAAACCGACUCCAUCCAUUAUUUUGUUAUUUUCUCCGUGCAGCGUCACAUGCAUAUUUGGGUUAUGUGAGAUAUUCUGUAGGAGCCUUCGUGCCCAACCCUUUGCAGUGUGAUAAAUGUUAACUAUUUGGACUUGGGGCGGACUAAUAACCGAAAGGUUGCACGAUUGAAUCCCUGAUAAGGUCAACAUGUGUCAUUCAGUCCCUGAACAAGGCAGUUAACCCACUGUUCCUAGGCUGUCAUUGAAAAUAAGAUUUUGUUCUUAGCUGACUUGCCUAGUUAAAUAAAGGUGUCAAGUGUAUGUAGACUGGAAUAUCGUAUGCUAGUUGGAGCGACAUGCUGCAAUUGUGGUGGCGAGCAUGCACCCAAAUUCAGGAAGUGCCCUGUUAGGGUGAAGGAGACAUGUCCAGCAUGUCUCCUAUCUGGAGACAGUAAGAAUAAGGAAGUAAUGUUUAAGAAACCAUAGUAGUUAUCACCAACAGGAUCCUGAAAUGUUGCAUGUUAAAAAGGUGGACUUUGUAUCGUUUAUUGCAUUGGUUAUAAACUGCACAGCGCUAACAACGAAAUCAGAGAAAAUAGGCAUUGUUGUGAAUGCGGCUGAAUGUUUUUUGGGACUUUACAGCAGAGGCAAGGAAUCCUGUCAAUUACUGUUCCGUCCACACAGGCCCCAGAAAGAUGUGAUCCUACCAUUAAUUAAUAUAUUGUGUCCCUUGCCUGAAAGGAUGGAAGUUCAAUGUAGCUUGAUGUAGUAGGCUAAUCGUUGGCCAUAAAAGGAAGUUAGGCUAGCGAGCAAGCAUUUUAGCCAGAUAACCUAGGACAACAAAAAAUAAAAGCGUGAUAUGACAAGAGUCAGAGACCGUUUCGCCAAAAUGAAAGCGGGCAGGAUGGCAUUGGCGUUUCUCUACAAGUAGGGUGAGUCAACAAGUAGAAAACACACACAGAAAUCAGUACCCCCAUGGACAGCCACGUGAUAUUUAGCUUACAUUGAUUGGACUAAAUUGUUGUGGGAAUCUUUUAGUCACUGUAUUAGACUAAACAUAGGUGAUUUGAUGAUGUUGAAAUGGUGGUGAAAUAGCGGAGGCAGCUCCUGUUUUUCUUUGCGACAUGCGGUAACUCCAGUGUUCUAAAUCAAUAGUUAAGAGGAGUCUGAAAAUGUUGGAAACAUUAACUUGAUUGACCAUGUAACUGUUUGUUACAUGCAAUAUCCUUUGUGGACUCCACUGGACAGAUGUUGCUCUCCGGUUUUGUGAUGAAACAAAGGUAUGGUUGAAUUUAUUCUGCCACUGUCUUCUUAUUGUCUCGGACUUAAGCCUAUAUAGCACGGUGGCAAGGUAGAUGAACAGGUUAUGGAGCAAACAACGCAAUUAUCAUAACACACAGGUUUUUUUUUCUGGCUUGGUGUAACAGUAUAACUUUAAACCGUCACCUCGCCCAUACCCGGGCGCGAACCAGGGACUCUGCACACAUCAACAACAGUCACCCACCGCUCCACAAAAGCCUCUGCAAGGGGAACUACUACUUCAAGCAACCAGUGAUCCGGGUCAACAGCAUCAAUGUAACAGUAUAACUUUAAACCGUCCCCUCGCCCAUACCCGAACCAGGGACUCUGCACACAUCAACAACAGUCACCCACGAAGCAUCGUUACCGCCGCGGCCCUUGCAGAGCAGGGGGACUACUACUUCAAGGUCUCAGAGCAAGUGACGUAACCGAUUGAAACGCUAUUUAGCGUGCACUGCUAACUAAGCUAGCCGUUUCACAUCCGUUACAUUGGCUUCCUUAGGGAUUUUACCCACCCACUGCAAUAACCUAAAACACAAGGCCAAAUUUACAGUGGAGUUGCUUAACAAAAAAGACAGUGAAUGUUCCUGAGUGUCCGAGUUACAGUUUUGACUUAAAUCUGCUUGAAGAUCUAUGGCAAGACCUAGAAAUGGUUGUCUAGCAAUGUUCAAAAAACAAUUUGACAGAGCUUGAAGAAUUUUGAAAAGAAUAAUGCCAAAUAUUGCACAAUCCAGUUGUAGAAAGCUCUUAGAGACUUACCCAGAAAGACUUACAGCUGUAAUCGCUGCCAAAGGUGAUUCUAUCAUGUAUUGGCUCGGGCUUGAAUAAAUAUCUAAUCAAGAUA